GACAUUAUUUCUGUAGUAAAAUAGAAAAAAAUUCAUUAAUGUGGUUUUCAAUUUUUAUUUCUUUUAUCUAAAAUAGAAGUGGAUAAAGUGAGUAAUAAUUGACUCUAUUGACAACAUUAUUGGUAAGAUUGUGAAUGUUUUAUUUGCAUUUCUUACACUUAUGAAGAUAUUUUACUACUAAAUAGAAAACUAUUAUUCAAGACAGAUCCAUAGUACUUGUUAGGUAUUAUUUCAAUAUAAUUCGUACUGAGAUAUUAAGAGUCUAAUAAGCCUCCAAAAUCUGUCACAUUUAUUCUUUUAAAACUUAUUUUUUCUUUAAUUCCAAUUUUGUUUAAAACUCGCCCAUUUUCCCG
Molecule: small RNA, 353 nt
Filed under: Cryptosporidium parvum
Lineage: Eukaryota; Apicomplexa; Conoidasida; Eucoccidiorida; Cryptosporidiidae
Source: RNAcentral